Molecule: long non-coding RNA, 455 nt
Organism: Cebus imitator (Panamanian white-faced capuchin)
Lineage: Eukaryota; Metazoa; Chordata; Mammalia; Primates; Cebidae
Exons: 3
Source: RefSeq, a predicted model, not a curated record
GGGGAGCUGGGGGGAGCUGGGCGGCCCCCGGAGCUGGGAGAGUCCGCGGCGGCGCUUCCGCCAGAGAGACAGGCUUUCGUCAGCAGCCUGGAACCCCUGACCUCAAGUGAUCCGCCCAUCCAGGCCUUCCAAAGUGCUGGGAUUACAGGCAUGAGCCACUGCGCCCAGCCUGGAAUGUCUUAUCUUUUCCCAGUAAAUAAAACGACGGACCCUGAACAGAAGAAGGAAAACUAGCAAACCCCACAGCCUGGAGCUUGGCUGUACCUUGAGCUCACCCCCCUGGAACUGGCAGUUUGGUGAGGGAUGGAAUUUUGAGUUGAGAGCUGGCCUUGGAUUUUGAAGGCUUAGCCCCCCGUCUCUUGCCGGCACUGCUGCUGCUGAGAAACGAAUGUCUCCGGAUUCCUGAGCCAGAGUCCAGGCUGCUUCAUGUUUCCCUGAGAGCUUUCCGGCGUUUU